UAGAGGCAGAAGAUCACCUCCCUUGACCUGCCGGCCAUGUUCUUGUUAAUUCACCCCAGGAUCCCAUUGGCCUUCUUGAUCACAAUGGCACACUGCUGGCUCAUGACCAACCUGUUGUCCACCAGGAUACCCAGGUCCUUCUCCUCUGAGUUAAUUUCCAGCACAUCAGCCCCUAACCUAUACUGAUACAUGUGGUAUCAUGUAUGCUCCUUGGGUGUAGGGCCUCCACUUACCUUUGUUGAAUUUCAAGAGGUUCCUCUCUUUCCAUCUCCCCAGACUGUCAAGAUCCUUCUGAAUGGCAGCACAGUACUGUCAGCCACUCCUCUCAGUUUUCUAUCAUCAGCAGACUUGCUGAAGAGGCACUCUAUCACUUCACACAGGCGCCCCAUCCAUUGUCUCUCACACCCUUCCUGGAGCAUCUACCCUGCUUAUCUCUCCAACAUUGUGCUACACAAGGCUGAGGUAGAACCGGGUGUUUGCGCUGUGGUUCAUAAAGAAAAUCUCUACACUUAUCAAGAAAAAUCUGCACUCCAGAACCCACAAAACUGGGAAUAAUUGAUAAAACAUAAAAGCUAUGGAGAAGAUCUUGAAGUUAAAGAUGCCUGUUGCAGCAAAAAGGUAAACAGUGUACCAAUCUGUAUAAAAAAAGGUCUCUUUGUCUGCAAUAUAUGUGAUGUUUUCUUCCUCUGUUCAGUGUGGAUGUAGUGCCAGCUGGAGAACUGUUUGGUUUUGAACACUUUGAGCCCUCGCAGGAAGAUGCAUGUGAAGUGAGCUGUGUCCAGCCUUUUUCUUGUUUCUCCUCUUGACUCUAUGGCAAGAUUAAAGGAAUUGUGUUUGUUCUGUCUAAAGAAGAGAGAAACCAAAGCAGACACAUUAGCCAUCUUUGAAAACAUAACUGGCAAAGAGGUCAGGAAAAAACCUAAAACAGGACAAAAGCAAACAAUCAACAAGCAGUAGAUAGUCUACAUGCAUUAUGGGAGAUUUAGUUUUUAUAUUAGGAAAUGUCUGAAAGCAACAGCCAUGAGACAGUAUUGUAGGUUAUCUAGGAAGAUAUUGAUUUCUUCAUUAUUGGGGUUAGGAUCUGGUUGAAAAGAUUGCUCAGGAAUGAUUAGGUAUAGCUGAUGAGUGGAUUGAUGGCCUUUCCAAAUCCCCUCCUGUUUAUAAUAGCUCUAUAAAUGUGUUGGAUUUAAUAUCAGUAUAAUAAAGGAAACUCAAAAUCGUCUUCAACUAUCAGAAGAGAUAACAGGAUUUCAGGAUCCCAGCAUCAGUGUUUUUACUUCCUGUCUUCAGCAAAGCAGAGUGGGGCUGGCCUUUCGCAUAGGCAGUGUAGGCAUCUGCCUAAACCAUCAGGUCACCCAAUCCAGCAAAACACCCCAGUCUUGUUCUCUGCUGCUUACUCCUGGAAAGUCAGGAUGGAGAGGGAGAGGUAGCUAGACCAAGCUUGCAUUGGGUUGAAGGAACCUUCCCAGAAGCAUCACCUCUGUCCUCUGGAAAAAGAGGGAACAGAACCUCAGCUCCAGUCCAGCACUAUCUUUUUCUUUCCCUUUGCUUUUCCUGAGGCAGGAUUAGAAAUGUGCUUGUAUUUUGCUCACUGUUGAGAAGCCUGUGCCAUCCUUCCAGAAGUGAGAGAUACUGUUCUUAGUAAACCUUCCAUGAUUAUCUCAGCAGUCCAAAUACAGCAAUUCUUUGGCUAAAGUCACCUUUGUCUAGGGAAUACAGACAUCUCAAGAGAGAAUUUGAGGGUGUAUA
Molecule: long non-coding RNA, 1749 nt
Organism: Numida meleagris (helmeted guineafowl)
Lineage: Eukaryota; Metazoa; Chordata; Aves; Galliformes; Numididae
Exons: 3
Source: RefSeq, a predicted model, not a curated record